CGCUGGCGGCAGGCCUAACACAUGCAAGUCGAACUGUAACAGGAAUCAGCUUGCUGAUUCGCUGACGAGUGGCGGACGGGUGAGUAAUGUCUGGGAAACUGCCUGAUGGAGGGGGAUAACUACUGGAAACGGUAGCUAAUACCGCAUAACGUCGCAAGACCAAAGAGGGGGACCUUCGGGCCUCUUGCCAUCGGAUGUGCCCAGAUGGGAUUAGCUAGUAGGUGGGGUAAAGGCUCACCUAGGCGACGAUCCCUAGCCGGUCUGAGAGGAUGACCAGCCACACUGGAACUGAGACACGGUCCAGACUCCUACGGGAGGCAGCAGUGGGGAAUAUUGCACAAUGGGCGCAAGCCUGAUGCAGCCAUGCCGCGUGUAUGAAGAAGGCCUUCGGGUUGUAAAGUACUUUCAGCGGGGAGGAAGGGAGUAAAGUUAAUACCUUUGCUCAUUGACGUUACCCGCAGAAGAAGCACCGGCUAACUCCGUGCCAGCAGCCGCGGUAAUACGGAGGGUGCAAGCGUUAAUCGGAAUUACUGGGCGUAAAGCGCACGCAGGCGGUUUGUUAAGUCAGAUGUGAAAUCCCCGGGCUCAACCUGGGAACUGCAUCUGAUACUGGCAAGCUUGAGUCUCGUAGAGGGGGGUAGAAUUCCAGGUGUAGCGGUGAAAUGCGUAGAGAUCUGGAGGAAUACCGGUGGCGAAGGCGGCCCCCUGGACGAAGACUGACGCUCAGGUGCGAAAGCGUGGGGAGCAAACAGGAUUAGAUACCCUGGUAGUCCACGCCGUAAACGAUGUCGACUUGGAGGUUGUGCCCUUGAGGCGUGGCUUCCGGAGCUAACGCGUUAAGUCGACCGCCUGGGGAGUACGGCCGCAAGGUUAAAACUCAAAUGAAUUGACGGGGGCCCGCACAAGCGGUGGAGCAUGUGGUUUAAUUCGAUGCAACGCGAAGAACCUUACCUGGUCUUGACAUCCACGGAAGUUUUCAGAGAUGAGAAUGUGCCUUCGGGAACCGUGAGACAGGUGCUGCAUGGCUGUCGUCAGCUCGUGUUGUGAAAUGUUGGGUUAAGUCCCGCAACGAGCGCAACCCUUAUCCUUUGUUGCCAGCGGUCCGGCCGGGAACUCAAAGGAGACUGCCAGUGAUAAACUGGAGGAAGGUGGGGAUGACGUCAAGUCAUCACGGCCCUUACGACCAGGGCUACACACGUGCUACAAUGGCGCAUACAAAGAGAAGCGACCUCGCGAGAGCAAGCGGACCUCAUAAAGUGCGUCGUAGUCCGGAUUGGAGUCUGCAACUCGACUCCAUGAAGUCGGAAUCGCUAGUAAUCGUGGAUCAGAAUGCCACGGUGAAUACGUUCCCGGGCCUUGUACGCACCGCCCGUCACACCAUGGGAGUGGGUUGCAAAAGAAGUAGGUAGCUUAACCUUCGGGAGGGCGCUUACCACUUUGUGAUUCAUA
Molecule: ribosomal RNA, 1449 nt
Filed under: uncultured organism
Description: SSU rRNA
Rfam family: Bacterial small subunit ribosomal RNA
Source: RNAcentral